Molecule: ribosomal RNA, 119 nt
Filed under: Pteropus alecto (black flying fox)
Lineage: Eukaryota; Metazoa; Chordata; Mammalia; Chiroptera; Pteropodidae
Source: RNAcentral
GUCUACGGCCAUGCCACCCUGAACAAGCCCGAUUCUGUCUGAUCUCGGAAGCUAAGCAAGGUCGGGCCUGGUUAGUACUUGUAUGGGAGACCACUCAGGAAUACCAGGUGCUGUAGGCG